RNAcentral lists this ribosomal RNA (391 nucleotides) under uncultured bacterium. RNAcentral describes it as "partial 16S ribosomal RNA". It matches the Rfam family "Bacterial small subunit ribosomal RNA", at positions 523 to 917 of the family's 1533-position model. The record is from RNAcentral.
ACACGUAGUGGCCUGACGUUGUUCGGAAUCAUUGGGCGUAAAGGGCGCGCAGGCGGCCGUCCAAGUCCGGUGUUAAAUGGUCGGGCUCAACCCGAUCAUGCGCUGGAAACUGGGCGGCUUGAGUCCCGUAGGGGAUGCCGGAAUUCCAGGUGUAGGGGUGAAAUCUGUAGAUAUCUGGAAGAACACCGAUGGCGAAGGCAGGCAUCUGGCCGGAGACUGACGCUGAGGCGCGAAGGCGCGGGGAGCGAACAGGUUUAGAUACCCUGGUAGGCCGCGCAGUAAACGAUGCGCACCAGGUGUCGGGCGGCAGCGCCCGGUACCGGAGCUAACGCGAUGAGUGCGCCGCCUGGGGAGUAUGCCCGCAAGGGUGAAACUCAAAUGAAUUGACGGG